AUGGCCUACUUCGAUGAGAAAGCGAAGGAAGAUCCAGAUUUCUUCUACAGGAUAAGAUUGGAUGAUAAGGACCAUGUCAGGAACAUGUAUUGGGUGGAUGGUGCUGUAAGAAGAGCCUACAAAUUCCGAGAUUGCAUUUCAUUCGACACGACAUAUCUCACUAAUAUGUACAAGAUGCCAUGCGCUCCAUUCAUAGGAAUAAAUAACCACAAUCAGUCAUUGCAGUUCGGAUGCGGGCUCGUUCAGAACGAAGACACGGAUUACACUUGGCUGUUCAAGACCUUCUUGGAGUGCAUGGAUGGACUUGCUCCAAUGAACAUAAUAACAGACCUGGAUUUUAGCAUGCGUGCAGGCAUAGAGGAUGUCUUUCCGUUGGCAGUGCACAGGCACUGCAGGUGGCACAUUAUAAAGAAGGCUGAGGAGACGCUAGGACCGUUCUUUGCUGACCGUCCAGAGCUGCACAAGGCAUUCGAGCUGUGCGUGGACCACAGCUUGACGAUGGAGGAGUUUGAAAGGAGCUGGAUGACCAUGAUUGGAACAUAUCAAGUCCAAGACAACGAGACGCUUGCUAGGCUAUGGGAGAAGCGAAUGUACUGGGUGCUGGCCUACUUCAUGCAAUGCUUCUUCCCGAUUCUGCAGACUACGUAG
Molecule: ribosomal RNA, 648 nt
Filed under: Triticum aestivum (bread wheat)
Lineage: Eukaryota; Viridiplantae; Streptophyta; Magnoliopsida; Poales; Poaceae
Description: partial small subunit ribosomal RNA
Source: RNAcentral